GAGCGCGGCGUAAAUCCCGUUCCUAAUCCACAUCACUUUUGGUAAGAACAAAAGCUGUGUGCAAAUGAAUAUUUCCAUCUUAUUUCAAAUUCUAGGUUUCAACUGCAAUAUUAAUGCUAUUUUACAGUGUAAUUUACUUGUAAUAAUAUGUCAUUAUUGCCAUUUUACAGUUUUCUCUUAAAGUAGUAAAGAAAAUGUUUUAAAAGGCACAAAUAGCUGCAGCACAAAUCUCCAUUCAGCUUAAGAAUCUGUGCUCUCCCGUCAGAAUGGCACAUAAUUGAAAACAAUGACAUCCCCAAUGCGCUGAACGCUCCCGUCAUUACUGCAUUUUUAUUUUGGAAUAAAGGAGCACGCUCACAGCUUUUUUCCCCUAAAUAGUAAAUAUAAAUUAAACAUUUCUCUUCUGUUCCCAUUUCUCUUUCUGUUCCUGGCAUCUGCCAGGGCUGACCUCGAGCACUUCCCGCACGCGCAUCCCAAGCCAGCAGGCUGCUGAGGCAGGAACCUCCACGGGAAGCUCAGAGAGCCCGCCUGAAACACCGCGCAAAAAGGCUCUCUGACAUGAAAAUUCCUUGACCAGCCAGACCCUGGGCAGAGGUCAGAGAGAACCCUGAGUGAUGAAGGGAAGAAGGCGGAUAGGAACCUGCAGCAGGUAAGAGCAAUGCUCCAGAGAAGGUAAAUCAUUUAAAAUAGUUAUGAUCGUGCUACAGAGCUGGUCAAAGUCAUUGAAAAACUAAAUAAACAUGACAUUAAGCCAGUAAUCCCCCCAUUUUUAUUUUUUAUUUUUUAAGGCUUUAAUCAAAAUACAAUACCAGGAAGGACAUUAAAGAGGCCGUGCUCUUCACUGGUGCUUGCGGGUAGCCUUUGAAGAAAAGUAGCUUUGGAGAAGACGUACGAAUGGCAGCAGCAGGUCAGACCACAGUCCCAUCCCGUCCUGCACCCCAGUUUGUGAUGGUGGCCAACUGAUGCCCCACAGCAGAGAGCAAAACCAGAGCCAACAUAUACUUACCAGCUUUUCACCAGCUGCCAGCAAUUUGUGACUUAAGGACUCCAAGUGCAGAGGUGAUGCCUUUAACAUUUAUUUAUUUAUUUAUUUAUUUUAAUCCCACCAACGAUUUCUCCCCUCCCCACACCAAACGUUUUGUCCAAGUAUUUUUGAACCCUCACCAACUUCCAGCAUCAACUUUUUGUGGCAAGAAGUGCACAGCUGAAACCAUGGAAAAUAAAUACCCUUUUCUUUGUUUUAGCCUGUCACCCACACUAGCCUGCACGUGUUUAUGAAGACACUUAAGACACCAACACCUAUGUUUAUGAAGACAUUUCCUUCAUUCCUCUGUGGAAUAUUCUGACCACACUGAUGCUCAGCUGGGCAGCCGAGAGGUGGCCAGCUACAUCCUGGUGGCUCUCAUCCUGCCAAAAUAUUUCCUUCAAUUUUCAGUUAGCAGGAAAAACACACCGAAUUUCCAGGCAGUUAGGAGUUCAUGUGUGUGUAUGCCCACUAUUUUACUUCAGGUAGCCUACAAUGGAAACAACAUCAUGAUAAUAUUCAAUAUUUUGAAUCCCACAGAAAGCCCAAGCCUUCUCCCCUCGUGUUGUUUUGGGAAAUGCUGAUUAGGAGAGAAAAUUUUAUCCCACAUGAGAGGUAUCCUUGAGUACAAGUAGUCUUUAAAAGUUAAAGCUCCGUGCUUCUGAACAGCCUGAAAUGUCACGUAGCGGAGCAUCCAAGUGCAGCACCUAAAUAUUGUUAUUGAUGCUGUCAGUGAAGACCACAAAAAGCCCUGUUUUGUCUACAGCAAAGUUAUUUGAACAUGCUUGCAAACUGAAUCCACAGGAGUGAAUGGGAGGGGUUAGUACUCCUCUGCAAAACCCCCUACUUCCCAUAUUUUGGAAGAACAGUGCCUAAAAUCCCCUCCCACCCUUCUCCAUUUGGGGGAAUAAAAUGUCUCCUUCCGCUCACCAUCAUCUGCCUCAGUUUGUAUGGGCCAUCAAGACUUCGGUAGGAGUAUGCAGUUAUAGAUUUCUUUACUUUAAAAAAAAUAAUGAGUCAGAUGGAUACAUUGCACCUGGAAUCACCUGCACAGGUUGAAAUGCAUAAAUGAUGUGUGCUUGGCUUACAUUAAAAUCACAGUUCUAUUUAAAACAGAGCAUUUGAAACUUGUUACGGCUAUCUACAGGUUUUUAGGAGUGGUACAUCUUAAACAUAUACAACCACUGAAGAGAAACACAGACUGCACGCAUUCAAUGCAGCAGUUACCACAAGUCACCAGAGAUGGGAGUAACAAAGCUUUUCAGAUUUUUCUUUCUUUCGUUUAAUAAAACUUCUUUUAUUCUGGAAUAAUUUAUUAGCUUCAGUAGUUAAAAAGAACACCAAAAUAGAAAAAGAAAGCUGAAAUAUAUGCCAUGUUUCAGUAUAUAUUUCUUUGAAGAUGUCGCAAAGUUUUUAAGUUCAGUUUCUAUUUUCAGAAUAUUGUAAUAGCGUCAAAAAACUGCCUGUCUAGAACAACUUACUUCAAUUUUUAACUAUUUAUUUUUAGAACAGGGGCAUCUUGUGAAGUAAAAACAUUCAAACAAAUACGGCUUGCUAAAUGUAAUGAAGAGAAGCAACAAUACAAAGGAAUCCAUUAAUUGUGCAGUGCUUUCUAACAACUUCUUCAUUUAUACAUAUAGUAAUUAGGGGGCAUGGGAAUACUUUGGAAGCCAGAAUGGAUUUCAGAUAGACAAGACAACACGUUUAGCUGGUACCAGCGCAGCAAAGAGGUGACUUCUCUUUUCCCAGCACAUACACUCCGCUUCUCUCUCACCUUUCCCUGUGUCUGUAGCCCAAGCAUGAGCCCUUCUCUGUGACUAGCACUUUGCUGACUUCCAAGAGAAACGGGCAGGUUCUACUUUCUUUUGGAUUUGACUUUUAAACACAAUAUUUGGUGCUCCUAAUUUUUUCUCAAUUACACAACAUCAAAAUAAUGCCAAGAACAAACACCAGCUGCACCAGGGAAACGAUACAAAAGAGAAUUUCAAGGGCUGCAAAACACAUGAAGUCCUAAUUUCCCUGCCUUCAAAUACUCUCCCCCCUCCUGCCACCAUGAAAAAGGAGAAGCUCUUUAAAACAAAAUCAACAACUAUGUAUUGAAGUCAUCUGCCCUCCCUCUUUCUCCUGAGUUCAGUUAAAGGCACGAAGCCAACUUUUCCACAAUAAGCCUCCUGGCUUUGACUGACCCAUGCCUUGCUCUUUCAGGGACAAGCACUGAAGCUCAAAGGCGGCGUCUCGAGGGAAGCCUCAGUGCAGGACAUGACCAGCGCUCCCCAAAUCUCACACGUGGAGGGGAAGACAGACAGUGAGACGUUGCCUUUUUGAAGUUUAUAACAGUUUAUAACAAGCAAAUUUAUCACAGUGAUGCGAGAGGUCUGACACACCAG
This is a long non-coding RNA of Oxyura jamaicensis (ruddy duck), 3411 nucleotides long. RefSeq lists it as uncharacterized. Lineage: Eukaryota; Metazoa; Chordata; Aves; Anseriformes; Anatidae. The record is from RefSeq and is a predicted model, not a curated record. The transcript is spliced from 2 exons.